AAAAAAACACUCUAUCAUUAUUAUCUUUUUAGGCCUAUUUAAUGAAGUGGGCCCAAAUUGAAAUGACGGCCCAUUUAAAGAGGCCUCUAAAUAAUUCAGAAAUCUUGAUCUAAGUGGAAUUAGGCGGUGGUUGGGCUCUUCAACAAACUGUUUUAUGCUGAGAUGUCCAAAGACAAGGUCACCUUUCUGGUUAUCGGACAUCACUCGAACAGGACUCAAUUUCUUGCCGAGGGUUUCUUUGAUACCCUCUCUUCCAGGCAACCUUAAGGGUAUACGUGCACAAAACAUGAAGCAGAUCUGGAAGGAAGAACAUAGGACUGAAUCCCUGAAUUACUGUAAAGAUUAAGUUUGCAGCCUGUGUCAUCAGUCUAUUAAUGUGUUCAUUUCAUUUUCUUGUUAAUCAGAAGAGCGAUGGUGGAUCGAGCAAUGAAGAACAUCUUACUAGCAUGGAUAGUUUCAUCACAAUGGAGCUAAUGGAAGAUGAUAUGAAAUGAAUCAUAGUGCAGA
Populus euphratica (Euphrates poplar) is the source of this 507-nucleotide long non-coding RNA. RefSeq lists it as uncharacterized. The transcript has 3 exons. The record is from RefSeq and is a predicted model, not a curated record. NCBI's taxonomy places the organism in Eukaryota, Viridiplantae, Streptophyta, Magnoliopsida, Malpighiales, Salicaceae.